CUUUUUUUCUUAACGUGUGCUUUCACUCAAAGAAAAAAAAAAGCAACAAAAACCCCACAACUUCUAAACCAGUUCCUGAAAUAGACCCAGAGAGAAAAGGAAACCAUAGCAUGCUAUGCAGCCUUUCUCGAGGGAGCAAUUAUAACCUAGAGAAAAAGACUCAGCUAGUGCAUGGCUCCUGGAAACGGGGCUGAGUGCAAAGGCAUCUUCCCCUCCUGCCUCCCAACAACCACAGAUGUAGUCAUAGCCAGAGCUGGGUUCACCCAAAAAUAAGUGUACCAAGACCUUAUGGAGAUGGGAGUAUUAGGGUCGUCAGAUGAAUUUGGACAACCAUCAGCCCAGGCCACUUGGAGAUAGGAGUGGAAUCUUGAUGCCAACCAACACCUAUUUUUCUAACAUUCACCCUAUAAAGCACUGACAGUCUAUGCUGCAAGCACUGUGCUGGGCGCUGGUGGGGUAGCUGGAAAUAUAACCAGUGCUCCAGUGUCAGCUGUCACCACUCACUUAUAUGCCGUAGCUAUGCCCUAGUCACAUGAGGCUCCUCCAGCUUUCAGAGCUCAAUUGCCCUCAUUUGAUCCUUCAGGCUUUGCAUAUGUUGUCCUGUCAAUCAGCUUCUUCCUGACUGCCUUCUUCACCUUCUAGCACGUCCUUCCUCUGCUUGUUCCCUGACCCACCUCUGCAGAUAGCUAUGUGACCCGCCUGUGUGUUCUCAGAGCAGCAGUGCUUCUCCUUAUGAAGAGACUGCAUCACACAAUAUGGAGUAUUCUGUUUGUCUCUCUCCCCGACUGGACUGCAGGAUCCAUAAGAACAAAGAUGUUCUUCAUUUCUUUACCUGUGUUCUGUGGUACCUAGCAUGGUGCAUAGUGCUUAGGAGGUGAUUAUCACUUGAUUACUGUUUGAUUAAGAAGUUAACUCCAGAAAUGAAAUUUCUUAUUCUGAAUAGGUUAUGGAGACAUCAGACCUACUAGUAUCUAUGAGACUUUGGUCCAAAUCUCAGUUUCAUCAGCUAUGAAUUGGGAAUAGUCACAGCUGUUACGGUUGGUAGAAAACUCUCUGGAUAAAAUGUAUAUAAGACCCCUGGCAUCUGGAACAGAGCAGGAGCUCAGCGGUAGUGAUUAGAGCUAGUGUAAAAGAACAUUUGUCGAUGAUGCUUAAAUUCCCACUGGGAGACUAGAUGCUUUUAGCUUCCAUUUAUGGAGUAAAUAUUCUCAUUGGCAAUACUAGCCUUUUUACACCUCACCUUAAAGCUUUUUCUAAAUUUUCCUCUAACCACAUUAUUACUUCCUCUGUCAAGUUUUCUAAACUCACCACUUAGCUGCCAGAGAGCCCUGGAGUGAGAAUUGGGAACAGUACUUUGGUGACGUAAGUUCACAGCUCAGGCUCUGGAGUCGCGCUGUCUGAAGAUGAGUUCUGGCAAGCUGUCAUCUUUCUCUGUGCCCCAGUUUCCUCAUCUGCGAAGUGGGUAUCAUGACGCGUUGGUUGGUUCCUCUGGGGAGAGAUGCCUGCUCUAGAGGGUUACCACCUCCUUCCUUCCACAGCCCACGCUCGUCCCCCUCACAGCUGCCUGUUCUUUGCUCAGGAAUGCACGAGGGACUGCUUCUGUCUUCCAGGUGUCCAGAGACACCCAGGAAGUCUGGCAUCUAAGUUUAGUGAAAACCAAGGCAUCAGCAGAGGAUGGACAAUGGCUGGCAGAGAUAUAACAGAGCUUAUUCAAUUGUAAGAGAGACGAUUGAACUAAAGUGUCUAAUCCCCAGACUCUAUUAUUACAGCAGGUCUUUGAAUCGCAUUGUCUCAUUCCAUGUCUUUUCAUUAUAACAAUGAUGAGAAAAAGAUUGCUUCCUGGAAGGGCCACUGUCUGUGUGGUGUUUGCACAUUCUCCUGGUGUUGGUGGGGUUUUCUCAGGGUCUUUUGGUUUCCUCCCACAUCCUACAGCUGUGCAUAUUAGGUGGAUAGGCAUGUGUACAAGGCCCCAGUCUGAGUGAGUGUGGGGGUGAGUGUGAGCAGCCCUGCCUCUGGGUGGUGUCGUGUCCAGGACUGACUCCCACCUGGCGCCCUGAGCUGCUGGGAGAUGCUCCAGCCACCUGUGACCCUGAACUAGAAUAACUGGGUUGGAAAAUGAAUGAAUGUAUACAAAUUACUGUCAAAUAAAAUGUUGUAAAGUCUAAAGUAAUCAUCCAAAUGCAUGACAAUAAACCAUGAGGUAUGAAAGUGCUCAGCAAGCCCGCCAUCUUUCUAAUAGUUUGUUUUAGAACUUGGUGGUAGUAGGAGAUGCCCUAACAAUUUUCACUGCAGAAACGUUUAUUCCUUGAUUUAAUUCACCACCAUUGUGACCACUGUCACUCACUGAUUCACCAAAGACUGGGUAAAUAUUAUCUUACUGUUUUUAUUAAUCUUUCUUAAAUGUAUAUGCUCACACGCAUCUCAAAGUUUAAUAGUAGAACUGUUUUGGAUCUUUAUUUGGAAGUUUGGUGAUUUUUUUUUUGUGACCAGCAACAUGCGGUUGAAAUUUACCUCUUAUUUAUAUCAUUUAGCCUAUGGUAAAAUUGGUUUUGUUAUACAUCGUUUCACUUAAAGUCACGGCUUUCAAGAACCUAUUGAUGAUGUUAAGAGAGGGCUUACUGCACAUUCUAGGACGGCAAAUUGCUAAGCAAACAGUGGAUGUACAGCUCCCAGAAGUGCGGCCCAGAAUAACAUGACUUCAGAUGUAGGGGAGAGCUUGGAGUUUAUCUAGUCCAGUGGUUCUUAGCUGAGGGUGAUUUAGAAUUACCAGGGACCUGACUCCCUUGAGAAUCCUGGUGCAGGAGGUCUGGGGAAAGGAUAAAGCAUGGGUAUUUUUAAAAAUGCAUCAGGCAAUUCUGUCAGAUACUUUCUGACCUAGUCCACUCUCCUCCUCUCUGACCACAGUCUCUGACCUGUCAGCCUCCUUUCUCUAGGGAGCAAUUAUAACCCAGAGAAAAAUAAGCUGAAAGCAGGAGACUUCCAGAAACAUGUCUGGGCACAGGUGCCACCCACGUGUGGGUUUGCAUUGGGUGGCAACCCAUCUUUUGCAGCAGGGAGCUCACCAGCUGUGAAUUCUUCUGCUUGAUGGUAGUGGAGUGGAUGUGGAUCCCAUCUCUCCACCCUGCUGGGGAGACUGGAAGGGAGCAGCCUUCUAGAAACUCCACCACUGCAUGCCGGGAUAAGUUUCCAUAAUGAAGCUCUCUCAAGCACAAAAUGUGCAUCUAAUGGAAUGCCAUUUAUCAGGGCAGCAAUUCACAUGUACGCACAAAACCUUUACUUUAUUGCUUUAUAUCAUGAAUUACAACUAUAUCUAAAGAUUGAAGACUCUAGUUAACCCUCUAAUCCUAACUCCAGGGAUUAAUAUUGGGCAUUAAUUCUAACUCUGUCUUCUGAUACUAAUUCUAGCUGUUGAUUCCUUGAGUGCUAAUAGGAAAUGCCAGAAUUUAUUCUAUGGAUUAUUCUCAGUUUUAGCCCCAUCAUUCCAAGACAUGUUUGGAUUAUUUUGAAGUGGUCAUGUGGAUGGGUUUAACCUCAGACCUAGAGGGGAGAAAUAUACUGCUUAGCAGUUCAAAGGCGAAUAAAGGUUGGCAAGAUUAAUCACAGUGUGGAUUCUGUACUAUUUCAAAACUGAAUAGGAGGUUUGGGAAAUUGUGGCUGGAAAACCAGACUUUCCAGGUUGUCUUCCAUCAAGUGAUCACUGAUGUAUUUAUUUCUCUGAUUAAUGAACUUUGCAAAUUAACCUCCACACUACUCUGUAAUUGCGAUUAAGGUUUCAAAAAAUCACUUAAGCGUGUGUUUCCACCACUCCUGAGUCCAUUCCAGCCGGAUGGCCUGCUCACUGUGCUGAUUUCACAAAGAUAGUGCCAGUCCCCUGACCUCUGAAUUUACAAUUAUUGCAUUCAGCACCCAAAUUACCCCCAGUCUCCAUGUGCCUGGCUUUAUCUCUCUGCACACACAGGCCUGGCUUUUAAUUAAAGGCCCUCAAAUUAAAUGAAAACAAAUUCAAUUAUUACAUCUCAUUGGAGCAGCUCACAGCAUAUCCUGACAGCAUUUAUCCAAUGGGCAACCCAGGGAAAGCUCGGCUCCUACAACUUAAGUUAAUGUGCCCAGUAAAUGAUUUUUCUUAUCAUUGCUUGAACAGACUUUUUGCCACUGGGUCAGCCCUAGCUGUGGUCUUUGCUGUCUCUGAAAAAAACUACAGCUUAACACAGUUUCUCUUUUCUCUAUCUUUUCUGGUCUCUGCCUGGUUCUUAUUCUCCCUUUCUGCAUGGAAGGAGAAUGGUCUCAUGGUCUGUUCCCACUGAGGAUGGAAGAUAAUUACCCUCCAAUCUCUGCAGGUUUGGAGGUGCAGCUCAGAUAUGCACCCCUUAAAUUUAGAUCCUUAUCCAAAGCUCUUAGGGCUAUCCAGGGGACUGUGUGUAUGUUCUUGACUCUCCAAGCUGCCCGAAGUUUAGAGAAAUGUGCACUGAAUUGCGAUUAUUGUUAUGAUAGAUCAUAACAAUAAUCAUAAUAAUAGUAUGUUUAUUGAGGACUGUAAUGUGCUAGGCAGUGCAAACAGCAUGCAAUUAGACACAGUCCGUACCCAGUGGACCGACUGAUUACACAAGUGGAAGCAAGGCAAGACCCAGACAAAAGGAGCAAUAGAAACAAACUGAAGGGAGAGCUGGGAAGGGAGAAAACAAUUUCUUUUUUGAUAAGUGGCCAGCGGAGGUCAUGCCUCUACCUUGCCUG
This 4731-nucleotide long non-coding RNA is filed under the name Homo sapiens (human). RNAcentral's name for it is "HSALNT0365908". The record is from RNAcentral. Lineage: Eukaryota; Metazoa; Chordata; Mammalia; Primates; Hominidae.